This 29-nucleotide non-coding RNA is filed under the name Rattus norvegicus (Norway rat). The record is from RNAcentral. Lineage: Eukaryota; Metazoa; Chordata; Mammalia; Rodentia; Muridae.
UUGAACGAUUUUCUUUAAUGAAACUCAAA